Molecule: transfer RNA, 62 nt
Filed under: Cavia porcellus (domestic guinea pig)
Lineage: Eukaryota; Metazoa; Chordata; Mammalia; Rodentia; Caviidae
Rfam family: tRNA
About the family: Transfer RNA (tRNA) molecules are approximately 80 nucleotides in length. Their secondary structure includes four short double-helical elements and three loops (D, anti-codon, and T loops).
Source: Rfam by way of RNAcentral
UUUAGCUCAGCGGCAUAAGCACCUGCCUUGCAAGCAGGUGGUCAUGAGUUCGAUUCCCGAAA